GGAGACGUGGCCGAGUGGUUAUGGCGCUGUAAGUUACUACAUGCUGCCACAUCAAAGUUAGGAUCAUGACCUAACAACCAAACCAGAGUUUCAGGCUGCUAUGUGUACAAUUGUACGCUGAGUUCAGUUUACUAGUGGGUAAUUCCGCGUGGGUUCGAGUCCCACCGUCUUCA
Molecule: transfer RNA, 173 nt
Organism: Sphaerulina musiva SO2202
Lineage: Eukaryota; Fungi; Ascomycota; Dothideomycetes; Mycosphaerellales; Mycosphaerellaceae
Rfam family: tRNA
About the family: Transfer RNA (tRNA) molecules are approximately 80 nucleotides in length.
Source: Rfam